This 253-nucleotide ribosomal RNA is filed under the name uncultured bacterium. Its description in RNAcentral is "partial 16S ribosomal RNA". It matches the Rfam family "Bacterial small subunit ribosomal RNA", at positions 524 to 776 of the family's 1533-position model. The record is from RNAcentral.
UACAGAGGUGACUAACGUUGUCCGGAAUUAUUGGGCGUAAAGGGCGCGUAGGUGGUCGAGUAAGUCAGGUGUGAAAGCUCUGGGCUUAACCCAGGAAUUGCGUCUGAUACUGCUCGGCUUGAGUACGGUAGAGGAGGGUGGAAUUCCCAGUGUAGCGGUGAAAUGCGUAGAUAUCGAGAGGAACACCUGCGGCGAAGGCGGGUAGCUGGGCCGACACUGACGCUGAGGCGCGAAAGCCAGGGGAGCGAACGGG